CCAAUAGCGUAUAUUAAAGUUGUUGCAGUUAAAAAGCUCGUAGUUGAAUUUUGGGUCUGGCCGGGCGGUCCGCCCUCCGGGUGAGUACUGUUCCGACGCCGGGCCUAUCCUUCUGGAGAGUCGGCAUGUCCUUUGUUGGGUGUGCCGGGGAACCAGGACCAUUACCUUGAAAAAAUUAGAGUGUUCAAAGCAGGCGUAUGCUCGGAUACAUUAGCAUGGAAUAAUGAAAUAGGACGCGUGGUGCUAUUUUGUUGGUUUCUAGAACCGCCGUAAUGAUUAAUAGGGAUAGUUGGGGGCAUUAGUAUUCAAUUGUCAGAGGUGAAAUUCUUGGAUUUAUUGAAGACUAACUUCUGCGAAAGCAUUUGCCAAGGAUGUUUUCAUUAAUCAAGAACGAAAGUUAGGGGAUCGAAGACGAUCAGAUACCGUCGUAGUCUUAACCAUAAACUAUGCCGACUAGGAAUCGGGCGAUGUUAUUCUCAUGACUCGCCCGGCGCCUUAUG
Molecule: ribosomal RNA, 500 nt
Filed under: uncultured Glomeromycotina
Lineage: Eukaryota; Fungi; Glomeromycota
Description: partial small subunit ribosomal RNA
Rfam family: Eukaryotic small subunit ribosomal RNA
Source: RNAcentral